UAUUCGUUCCGGUACGUGCGCUGGAAGGUUUUGGCGAAGGCGAAAUCCAGGCGACCAUUAGCGGUCUGAAUCUGCCGGGAGAAACCCUCGGCGCGCAGCAUAAGCAGUGGCAAAUCGGCGUGCGUCCGGCCUGGCCUGCCCAAACGGUAAAUAGCGGCAUUGCGCUGGCGCCGGGAGAGAGCUGGCAUGUACCAGAGCAGCAUCUGGCAAACGUCUCGCCAGCCACGUUACAGGGACAACUGCUGUUAAGCGGAAAACCGCCGCUCAAUCUGGCGCGCUACAUUCGCGAGCUGAAAGCAUAUCCGUACGGGUGCCUGGAACAAACCACCAGCGGGUUAUUCCCGGCGCUGUAUACCAAUGCCGCUCAAUUGCAGUCGCUCGGUAUUACCGGCGAUAGCGAUGAAAAACGGCGCGCCGCGGUGGAUAUCGGCAUCUCCCGCAUACUACAGAUGCAGCGUGAUAACGGCGGUUUUGCGCUAUGGGAUGAAAAUGGGGCGGAAGAGCCCUGGCUAACGGCCUACGCGAUGGAUUUCCUCAUUCGCGCGGGCGAGCAGGGAUAUAGCGUCCCGCCGGAGGCCAUUAACCGGGGCAAUGAGCGACUGCUGCGCUAUCUGCAGGAUCCCGGUACGAUGCUGAUUCGUUAUAGCGAUAAUACCCAGGCCAGUACUUUUGCCGCUCAGGCUUACGCCGCGCUGGUACUGGCGCGUCAGCAGAAAGCGCCGCUCGGCGCGCUGCGCGAAAUCUGGGAGCGCCGUAGUCAGGCGGCUUCAGGACUGCCGCUGAUGCAAUUGGGCAUCGCGUUAAACACGAUGGGUGAUGCCAGACGCGGCGAAGAGGCCAUUACGCUGGCUCUGAAUACGCCGCGUCAGGACGAACGGCAAUGGAUAGCGGAUUACGGCAGUUCUCUGCGCGAUAACGCUCUGAUGUUGUCGUUACUGGAAGAGAACAACCUCAGACCGGACGCGCAAAACGCGCUAUUAAGCUCGCUUUCUGAGCAGGCCUUCGGUCAGCGCUGGCUCUCUACCCAGGAGAACAAUGCCUUGUUCCUCGCCGCGCAUUCGCGACAGGCCAGCGCGGGCGCCUGGCAGGCGCAGACCUCGUUAGAGGCGCAGCCGCUGUCGGGCGACAAGGCGCUGACCCGUAAUCUGGAUGCUGACCAGCUGGCCGCCCUUGAGGUGACGAACACCGGUAGCCAGCCGCUAUGGCUGCGUCUGGAUAGCAGCGGCUAUCCCUCAUCUGCGCCUGAGCCUGCCAGCAACGUUUUGCAGAUUGAACGACAAAUACUGGGGACCGAUGGUCAGCGUAAAUCGCUGUCCUCGUUGCGUAGCGGCGAACUGGUGCUGGUCUGGUUAACGGUAGUGGCCGAUCGCAAUGUGCCGGAUGCGCUGGUGGUGGACCUGCUCCCGGCCGGGCUGGAGCUGGAAAACCAGAAUCUGGCUGACAGCAGCGCCAGCCUGCCGGAGAGCGGUAGCGAAGUGCAAAAUCUGCUUAAUCAGAUGCAGCAGGCGGAUAUUCAGUAUAUGGAAUUCCGCGACGAUCGGU
This 1542-nucleotide ribosomal RNA is filed under the name Salmonella sp. FORC89. RNAcentral describes it as "Small Subunit Ribosomal RNA". The record is from RNAcentral. Lineage: Bacteria; Pseudomonadati; Pseudomonadota; Gammaproteobacteria; Enterobacterales; Enterobacteriaceae.